Molecule: non-coding RNA, 279 nt
Organism: Paramuricea clavata
Lineage: Eukaryota; Metazoa; Cnidaria; Anthozoa; Malacalcyonacea; Plexauridae
Source: the annotation of a GenBank genome assembly
UCCGCAAAAAAUUUCCGCAAGUUUUAUUUUACGUUUUUCUUCCGCAAAAUAUUUCCGCAAUACAGUUUUUUACCUUGUUCCUUACGCAGGAGAUCUCCCGCUUAAGUGCCUUACUUUCCACUAUGGUUGAAACCUAGUUGCAAACCAAAUUCUCAAAAACGGCAUGUUUAGCAAUAAUACAGCUAAACAUUUUAGUCAAAGAGCAAAUGAAUAUAACUACGCCAUUCUACGAUGAAAUCUCUAGGUAUUCCCAGUCAAUUUUAGCAAAUAUUUCAAGCA